UACGUAGGGUGCGAGCGUUAAUCGGAAUUACUGGGCGUAAAGUGUGCGCAGGCGGCCGAGCAAGUCGAGUGUGAAAGCCCCGGGCUUAACUUGGGAAUUGCGCUCGAAACUACUUGGCUGGAGUGUGGCAGAGGAAGGUGGAAUUCCAGGUGUAGCGGUGAAAUGCGUAGAGAUCUGGAGGAACACCGAUGGCGAAGGCAGCCUUCUGGGCCGAUACUGACGCUGAGGAGCGAAAGCGUGGGGAGCGAACAGG
This 253-nucleotide ribosomal RNA is filed under the name uncultured bacterium. RNAcentral describes it as "partial 16S ribosomal RNA". It matches the Rfam family "Bacterial small subunit ribosomal RNA", at positions 524 to 776 of the family's 1533-position model. The record is from RNAcentral.